CAAAAGGCAGAAGCUAAGGAAUCUGCUAUUUUGGUGCUAUGUCAAGAUCUUGGCAUCAGAGAAUCUGAGGACUGCAGCAAAGUUGGGUUUCCAAGUAGUCAGAGUUGCAGUGUGAAGAAGAUGAAGACCGUGGCAUGACCACUGAAGUCGGCAACGUGGAGGUCACUGGAGAGCUUGAUAAGGACUUAUUUAAAGUGACAGCCUGGCUUCUGCUGUGCUGUGGGGAAUCGAGAGAAGGCCUGAUGUCCACUUUGGGGAUGUAGCAGUAUGGUGGGGCAGCAGCCUAAGGAAGGUGGUUCUAGGAGGUAAAGGAGUGAGCACUGGCCCAUGAAAGGAGCAGAGACUUAAAGUCUGAACCAGAUGGUCGGCUGAAAUGAUAAACAAUGGCCAGGAUGGACCUACAGAGAGGAGAACUCAAAAGUCACAAAAGAUUAAGGCUCAGGUCUUUAUUUUGGAUAUUUAAAGUUAAUAUGAACAUGGGAGUGCAAAUAUCUCUUCAAGAUAGUGAUUUUUUGUCCUUUGGAUACAUAUACAGAAGAGGAAUUUCUGGAUCAGAUGGUAGUUCUAUUUUUAAUUUUUUGAGAAACCUCCACGUUGUUUUCCAUAAUGGUUGAACCAAUUUGCAUUCCCACCAACAGUGC
Molecule: long non-coding RNA, 641 nt
Filed under: Equus caballus (horse)
Lineage: Eukaryota; Metazoa; Chordata; Mammalia; Perissodactyla; Equidae
Description: lncRNA (ENSECAG00000055287.1)
Source: RNAcentral